RNAcentral lists this ribosomal RNA (229 nucleotides) under uncultured bacterium. RNAcentral describes it as "partial 16S ribosomal RNA". It matches the Rfam family "Bacterial small subunit ribosomal RNA", at positions 568 to 796 of the family's 1533-position model. The record is from RNAcentral.
UGCGUAGGCGGAUUAAUAAGUCAGUGGUGAAAUCUUUCGGCUCAACCGAGAAACUGCCAUUGAUACUGUUAAUCUUGAGUUCGGUUGAGGUAGGCGGAAUGUGUAAUGUAGUGGUGAAAUGCUUAGAUAUUACACAGAACACCAAUUGCGUAGGCAGCUUACUAGACCGACACUGACGCUGAGGCACGAAAGCGUGGGGAGCGAACAGGAUUAGAUACCCUGGUAGUCC